UCUCAGUGCCGUAGCUAACGCGUUAAGUGUACCGCCUGGGGAGUAUGCUCGCAAGGGUGAAACUCAAAGGAAUUGACGGGGGCCCGCACAAGCGGUGGAGCAUGUGGUUUAAUUCGAUGAUACGCGAGUAACCUUACCAGGGCUUGACAUAUACCGGAAUACUGUGGAGACACAGUAGCCUCUUUGAGGCUGGUAUACAGGUGCUGCAUGGUUGUCGUCAGCUCGUGCUGUGAAGUGUUGGGUUAAGUCCCGCAACGAGCGCAACCCUUUCUGUCUGUUGCCAUCAUUAAGUUGGGCACUCAGGCGGUACUGCCGGUGACAAACCGGAGGAAGGUGGGGACGACGUCAAAUCAUCAUGGCCCUUAUGUCCUGGGCUACACACGUGCUACAAUGGCCGGUACAGAGCGCAGCAAAACCGCGAGGUGGAGCAAAUCGCAGAAAGCCGGUCUCAGUACGGAUUGGAGUCUGAAACUCGACUUCAUGAAGGUGGAAUCGCUAGUAAUCGCGCAUCAGCAUGGCGCGGUGAAUACGUUCCCGGGCCUUGUACACACCGCCCGUCACACCACCCGAGUUGGGGGUACCCGAAGUCGCUAGUCUAACUGUCAAAGGGGGACAGCGCCGAAGGUAUGCUUGGUAAGGGGGGUGAAGUCGUAACAAGGUAGCCG
Molecule: ribosomal RNA, 665 nt
Filed under: uncultured bacterium
Lineage: Bacteria
Description: bacterial SSU rRNA
Rfam family: Bacterial small subunit ribosomal RNA
Source: RNAcentral